GACCGGCGCACGGGUGAGUAACACGUAUGCAAUCCACCUGUAACAGGGGGAUAACCCGGAGAAAUCCGGACUAAUACCCCAUAAUAUGGGCUCUCCGCAUGGAGGGUCCAUUAAAGAGAGCAAUCUUGGUUACAGACGAGCAUGCGCUCCAUUAGCCAGUUGGCGGGGUAACGGCCCACCAAGGCGACGAUGGAUAGGGGUUCUGAGAGGAAGGUCCCCCACAUUGGAACUGAGACACGGUCCAAACUCC
This 250-nucleotide ribosomal RNA is filed under the name uncultured Bacteroidota bacterium. RNAcentral describes it as "uncultured Bacteroidetes bacterium partial 16S ribosomal RNA". It matches the Rfam family "Bacterial small subunit ribosomal RNA", at positions 93 to 339 of the family's 1533-position model. Lineage: Bacteria; Pseudomonadati; Bacteroidota. The record is from RNAcentral.